This 471-nucleotide ribosomal RNA is filed under the name Nipponnemertes sp. 2 NH-2022. Its description in RNAcentral is "partial large subunit ribosomal RNA". It matches the Rfam family "Bacterial large subunit ribosomal RNA", at positions 1817 to 2597 of the family's 2925-position model. The record is from RNAcentral. Lineage: Eukaryota; Metazoa; Nemertea; Enopla; Monostilifera; Cratenemertidae.
AGCCUUUUGGUUGUUUUAUGAAAGGUGGUUUCUGCUCAGUGGUUUUGAACAGCCGCGGUAAUUUGACCGUGCGAAGGUAGCAUAAUCAUUUGCUCUAUAAUUUAGGGCUUGUAUGAAUGGGGGUACAAGGGGCUUGCUGUCUUGAAAAAAACUUUAGAAUUUGUUUUUAUUGUGAAGAAACAGUAAUUUGGUAAAGGGACAAGAAGACCCUUUUGAUCUUGACUUUUUUUGAAUGAGUGUGUUUUUUGAAAAGUUUGGUUGGGGUGAUCGGAGAAGAGAAGAAAUCUUCUUUUUUAAAAAUACUUGUGGUCCAAAAUUUUUGGUUGAAGGAAUAAGUUACCAAAGGGAUAACAGCGUUAUUUUUUUUGUGAGUUCUUAUUAAAAAGAGAGAUUGCGACCUCGAUGUUGACUUAUAGUUUUCCUUUUGGCGCAGUGGCUAUGUGGGAGGGUCUGUUCGACCUUUAAUUUUUU